CAUUUGAAACCUUCUCUGCAUUUCUUCCUCCUCCUUCUCUUUCCCUUUCAGUCGCUCCACAUGUUCUCCCUUGCUGUAUAUCGGCUUUGCACCAUUUAAGUCAAUGGAGCUAUGCUAAUUUACAUCAGCUGAGGGUCUGGUCCAUAGUUGCUGGCCUUCCAGAGACCUGGUGCAGGACAUGCAGGUUGCCAGGAAUGCUGUAAUGGUCCCCCAAUGAAACCUGCUGCAGAGGGAUGACAUUCAUUGCCAUCUAUGAGGGAUGUCACAGUGGUUCUGUUAAAGAAAGAGCACAGAGCCUCAUUCCCCACACUCAAAGAUGUUCUAGAGACAGAGGCUGGAAUGCUGAUUCCUACUACCAAGUACAGUCAUCACCCCCGGUAUUGCACGAAGAAAGCAGAGAACUCACCAUCGCCCAAUCAGCACUUCCACGGGAACCCCAUUGGGAAAGCUCAGGCUUGGGAAGAGGUAACAGAGCGCAGUGGACCCGGCAGGGAAAGGCCUGGGCCUGCUGGUGUUGCCCCACAUCACACUCUGGUUUGCAUGUAGCCACGAGGGCCUUCCUGAUGGAAAAAAUAAAAUGAUGUACAUUUAUUUUAAAAAGACAAACUCUAUGGAACACUGAGGCUGAAGUGCUGCUUCCUUAUUGGUUACUGAACCUGUCAGUGAUUCCUAGGAAGAGACGAAUACUGUUAACAGAACCCUGUAUCCACGGUAACAUGUGACUGAAACGUUCCGGCAGAAGGUAACUUCUUUGAUUUUUAUUUCUUAUCAUUUGAUUUAUUUCCCUGGAGUGACCCAUGGCACUGGCACUCAAUGACUGGCAGGGAGGGUGGAUGGUCAGGGAUCAAGUCUGG
This 854-nucleotide long non-coding RNA is filed under the name Gopherus agassizii (Agassiz's desert tortoise). RNAcentral describes it as "lncRNA (ENSGAGG00000008679.1)". The record is from RNAcentral. Lineage: Eukaryota; Metazoa; Chordata; Testudines; Testudinidae.